Oenanthe melanoleuca is the source of this 2624-nucleotide long non-coding RNA. RefSeq lists it as uncharacterized. Lineage: Eukaryota; Metazoa; Chordata; Aves; Passeriformes; Muscicapidae. The transcript is spliced from 2 exons. The record is from RefSeq and is a predicted model, not a curated record.
AUGGACAUUUUCAAAGCUGGAAAACUGACUGGAGAUGGGUAGAUGGAUAUUUCCUGUAGACCAGGAUUUUAGGAUGGGUUAUUGUCCAUCAAAUCAUGAUCAGUUUGCAAACUGUCUGUUUCCAUACAACAUCCUUGGUGCUUGGAUUACAGAGCAUCAAAGAAAUGCAGGCUGAAAAUUGGCAUUUGGAUGCUAUUAUUGUAUGUGAAUUACCAAUUUCUUCCUUCAUGUCUUCAGGAUUAAAUACAUGUAGGAGCUUCCAGAAAAAAAAAUCUUUUGUCUUCUCAAAUUGAAAUUUAAACCAACUGUCUUUGGAAUAAGAUCCAUUGUCCAGCCUGCUGCAUAUUUCAUGCAGUGCUGCCUCCUUCACUGCAGGUGUGGCAGUAAAUCCUUGGCACUGAGAUGUGAUCAUGGAAGAUUACCAGGAUUUUUAAAGUAAAAUUACAAUUUUCACAUUCUACAGAAUCUUGUCCUUGAUCUUAUUUUCUGGCCUUGUGUGGCUGGGCUAUGUUUAAACCUGUAGCUAGGUGUGAUUUUGGACAACAAAUGGCUUUCCUGGCCUCUGUCAACAGCUGCCAAUUCACAUUCACAAGCAAAGGAAACUUCUGCAAACUUACAUGUACCAGCCCAGAUCUUACUUGUAUGUCUACUGUCACCCUGAAAUAGAUGGCUGCAUAAUGGCCAGCUUAAGAGGUGUCAGCCUAGGUAGGGUUAAGCCAAAUCUGGUUCAACUCAGGUAAGGUGUGCCUGUAACCCAGCCAGCCACCUGAAAUUCUGCUCAUUUUUAUUGUGGGUUCUGCCAUUUGAGUAUUGUACUCAAGUAUGGAGCGUGUCUGGACGAGGAGAGUUGGGUGGUAAAGGCAUUUCCCUUGUGUCAGGUGGUUCAGUGUAAAAGAACAUAAUUCUAAGAGAACCUUUACUUUGACCUGUGCAUGUGUCAGUUCUGUUGUGCAAGACCUUGCUGACUGGUCAGAUCAUAUAUCAAAACCAAAAGCACUUGCAGAGCCUUCCUGUGCCAGUGGGUGCAGUGGCCAUUUUAACAGGAUAAAUUUCUAAAGCAGAUUUUGUCCAUGUGUUGCCUGAAUCUUCAAGGAAUUCCACAAUUCCUAUUCCUACUGAAGCCAGUAGAGCCUGAGAAAGGAUCAUCCUGAAGAACGUGCUCCAGAAUGUGAGUUGCCUUCCCUGUGAACACAGUCUAUUGUACAGUAAAAAAUUGCAAAGAAAAAGCAAUAUUUCAAGCACAGCAUUGCCUAGUUGGCUUUGAAAGCUUUUAAAGUUUUUUAAUUUUUAAUUUUCUUUUUAAACUUUUAAGAUUCAGGUUAGGUUUAAUUUUUAAGUGUUAUUAGAUCUCCUGAAUCCCUGCUGCACUGAAUCUUGCAUCUGAAUCUUACUGCACAGAGCAAAGUUGCAUGUAACACUGCUUUUCUGCUGAGAGAAAUCUGUUACUUGAAGUUUGUUAUAAAAAGGUUUUUGAAACCUCUGCCACCUAGGGCAAUUUUACUUUAAAGGAAAAAGACCAAGUGAUUUGCUAAACACAUUUCCUUUGGGAGGCUUGUAAAGGAGGAAUUUACACCUGAACUUGAGAGAUCCCUUUAAACAAAUACUGACAUUUUGUUAGGUGUUCCCUCAGGAAAACAGUGUUUUAAAGGUCUGACACCUUCAGCAGCUGAAAUCUUCUUGAUAAUGUUUCCUAUGACAAAUAGCUCACAUGGCUUUUCAUUGCUUAAGCCACUUCUCAGAGUUACAACAUGCUCACACCUGUUAUAGAAACAUGAGGUUUGCAGAGGAAAUUCUCAGCUGAGGCCCUGACUCCACUGAAAAUUCCAAUUGCUCUGUGCAGUUAAGAAACCCAAGUUUGACUUUUUGAAGAAAAGCAGCACAGACCUUUAAGCUAUCACCUCUGGUCCUGUGGAGAGCUGCAAAGGCUCAAGCAGUCACUGUUCCAGGAAUGAAACAGACUGAAGAGAAGAUGGUCAUGAACAUACUGCAGACUAGAGAGGCAGACACCCAGAAAACAUUUACUGAAGAAGCAAGGAGUACCAUUUGAUAGAAAACUGUAUUAGCAUCAUGUUGCAGGUGUUGAACCAUUCUGGGAAGUCAGCCCUGAGCAGAGCCCCAGGAUUCACUUCAAAAACUUACUUCAAGACUGCCAAAGAGUACAUUAUUGCUGGUGAAUUGAAAAUCUUUGCUUCUAAUGGCAUGUUCCCAUAAUUUGAAACAGUAAAAUUACAACUCUUUCCAUACAUAUGGUGUGAUAUUUGAGACUGACACACUAUUUUGCAACUUUAGAAGAGGGACCUAAUUUAUUGAGGCAGUGAGCAAAAGGAGAAACUGAAGACUCUUCCCUUCUCAAUCUCUGUUUCAAAAAAAUAAUCAUAAUUUAGAGGACAACAAGGUGGAUGCUGAAGAGAAAGAAAGGCAGAUGUUUUCCAUGGCAGAUUGCUCCAGGAGAAAACCUGAUGCUGAGAUGCAUAAGCAGGAAGUAAGCACAUUGGGAAUUGUGGUUUUGAAUAGAACAAAGACCAGUAAUUCUGCUUGCUUUUUUACUAUUUUAAAUAUAAACUUAUCUUCUUGACUACAUAGCUGAAUUGUUCUUGAAAUCUAACAAAAGUUUGGUAUUUACA